This 629-nucleotide ribosomal RNA is filed under the name uncultured fungus. RNAcentral describes it as "eukaryotic LSU rRNA". It matches the Rfam family "Eukaryotic large subunit ribosomal RNA", at positions 24 to 664 of the family's 3401-position model. The record is from RNAcentral. Lineage: Eukaryota; Fungi.
CCCGCUGAACUUAAGCAUAUCAAUAAGCGGAGGAAAAGGAACUAACAAGGAUUCCCCUAGUAACGGCGAGUGAAGCGGGAAAAGCUCAAAUUUGAAAUCUGGCGGCUUCUGGUCGUCCGAGUUGUAGUCUAGAGAGGUGUCUUCCGUGUCGGACCAUGUACAAGUCCCUUGGAACAGGGCGUCAUAGAGGGUGAGAAUCCCGUCCAUGACAUGGACUCCCGAUGCUUUGUGAUGCACCUUCAAAGAGUCGAGUUGUUUGGGAAUGCAGCUCAAAAUGGGUGGUAAAUUCCAUCUAAAGCUAAAUACAGGCGAGAGACCGAUAGCGAACAAGUACCGUGAGGGAAAGAUGAAAAGCACUUUGGAAAGAGAGUUAAACAGUACGUGAAAUUGUUGAAAGGGAAACGCUUGGAGUCAGUCGCAUCGCCUGGGAUUCAGCCUUGCUUCUGCUAGGCGCAUUUUCCAGUUUGACGGGUCAGCAUCGGUUUCGGUGGGCAGACAAAGGCGCAGGGAAGGUGGCCGCUCCGGUGGUGUUAUAGCCCUGCGUUGUAUGUGCCCGCUGGGACCGAGGAAUCCGGCUCGCGCCUGGGAUGCUGGCGUAAUGGCUCUAAGCGACCCGUCUUGAAACACGG